UCUCCAGAAUUGGUUUAAAUGUUCCGGGUCAAUGUGACCUUGACCUUUGUCUUACUGAUCUCAAAAUAUAUAGGGGUCAUCUGCUGGUCAUGACCAACCUCCAUAUCAACUUUCAUGUUCCUAGGCCAAAGCGUUCUUGAGUUAUCAUCCAGAAACUGAUUGGUCUGCGGACUGACAGAUCGACCGACUGACAUCAGCAAAACAAUAUACCCCAUCUUCUUCGAAGGUGGGCAUAUAAAUUAAUUUCAGCAGGAAAGUAUUGUUCAUGUGACAUUCUAUAAAACAAUGCUUGAAAUAUGAACCCAUACAUUCUUUGCUGGUUUAAUUCUGUUACACUAUAUAUGGAGAUUAGAUUGCAGUUGCUUUUAAAUUACCUGUCCAGCCAGUAUUUACAUCAAAUAAGUGAUUAUAAAGGUCUUAGAUGUCUUUCAUGUUUAGUUAUGUUAUAAUGUAGUUGUGUAUUAUCUUUUUAAAUAAUCUUAAUCUUUUAUGAAAGGAGCUUGAAAGUGGUACAGUCAUGAGUGCAGUCCAGCUUGUUAGUUGUGAUGAAAAGAACUUGAAAAAUGCUUAUGAGUUCAACAUAGGCAAAAGAACAGGAUAAAAAAAAAUGUUAGCAUAGUAAGUUUAAAGAGGAAAGAAGUAGGAUUUAAAGGUACUGGAUGGUUGAAACAGCUGCGUUAAUUAAAGGAUGGUAACUAAAUGGCAAGACAAAUAAUUCCAGAGAACAAAGAGCUGACCUGCAUUGAACCACAAUAUAUGCACUGACACUAUAUAAUAUGAAGUUAGUAGUACAUGACUGAUUUUGAAUAUAUAUCAAGAUGAUCAAAAUUUUUUUCUGUAUUUACAAAUAAUGAUUCUACGCCGUAUGUUUGUUUUCCAAGCUGGAGAGUAUACCUGUAUCCAUCAUGUGACAUCAGUACCAAUUUGAGAUUCAUGCAGGACUUUUGUCAUUUAUUAAAAAAUGUGUUACAUGCUUCAGUUCAAAAGCUCAUUCAGAAUUUCAGAGCUUAUGUUGUACUGUUAUAUGUCUUGAUGACAAUAAAACCAAUCUUACUGUA
Molecule: long non-coding RNA, 1058 nt
Organism: Mercenaria mercenaria
Lineage: Eukaryota; Metazoa; Mollusca; Bivalvia; Venerida; Veneridae
Exons: 2
Source: RefSeq, a predicted model, not a curated record